RNAcentral lists this unclassified non-coding RNA (159 nucleotides) under uncultured fungus. RNAcentral's name for it is "sequence contains ITS1". Lineage: Eukaryota; Fungi. The record is from RNAcentral.
UUACUUUCGUUUUAUAUAAUCAAAUGACUUUGUGUUAACACAAGUGUUAAAAAGUGUUUCAAAUGCACAGGUGUAUGAAAAUAAGUGUAUUUUCGGGCUUCUCUUUGCAGAGUUACCCUAUUUUCACUAAUGAUCCUUCCGCAGGUUCACCUACGGAAA